Non-coding RNA from Cricetulus griseus (Chinese hamster), 1192 nucleotides. Lineage: Eukaryota; Metazoa; Chordata; Mammalia; Rodentia; Cricetidae. The record is from RefSeq and is a predicted model, not a curated record.
AAGAAGAAGAAGAAGAAGAAGAAGAAGAAAGAGUUAGUACUCGGGUUUGAUGAGGGCCCCAGUGUUGAUCACAGAUGCCAACUGUGGACCACACAGUGGUGUGAUGGCUGUUUUACUUUUAAGUAGCCUUAUUUUUAUUUCUUUUCACACAAUCAUUUAAAAGCAGCUAAGAAAAAGGAUUCCCUUUCUGCCUUUCUUUUGCCAGGAAGCAAAAUCUUCAUUUUUUCAUGUGUAGAACAUUCCUUUACACUGUGAAUAUAUGUUGCUAUAAUUGGUUUAACAAACAAGCUGACUGGCCAAUACCCAAACAGGAUAAGGUUAGGUGGGAAAGCCAAACUGAGAAUUCUGGGAGGAAGAACGGUGGAGUCUGUAGUCACCAGAAGACACAGAGAGGCAAGAUGGGCAUGCCAUACUGAGAAAAGAUACCAAGCCACGUGGCGAACAUAGAUAAGAAAAUAGGUUAAUUUAAUUGUAAAAGUUAGCCAAUAACAAGCCUGAGCUAUUGGCCCAGCAUUUACAAUUAAUAUUAAGACUCUGAGUGGUUAUUUGAGAGCUGCUGCUGGCACAGGAAGACUCCAACUACACUCACGUUUCUGGAAGAUGAUGCAUCCAAGCCAAGGAAGGUUUGCUGUCCUGUGUAUCUCUUCCUUAACACUCCCACAGUGUCUCUGAAGAUUUUCUCCUUUUCAGUCAAUGAAUGACUGAGAUAGGGCUGUAUCAUCAGCAAACUUUUGGUGAAAUUUUGAUGCACCACACUCUCUCACAACAAAACUUAAAGUUGAAUGCCAGCCAUGCCUUUUCUUAGAAGAUCCAUUGGUGAGCCCACCAGGAGCCAUUUCCAGGAUAGCCUUUGGAUAACGUCUCUCAUUGUACUGUUGUCUCUCUGCCCCUUGACCAUCUCUAAGGAGCCACUGGAGGCAUAUGGGACAAAAAUGACAUAUGCAAAGUUCUGACUGGGGAUCUAACUGCGGAGAAUUUAACAAAGUAAGUGGCAAUAUAAAUUUGUGGAUGUUAAUAUUUCAGGGUGGGUGGAUCUUCUGGUAAUUGCAUGGUGGUAAUUAAAAAGGACAACAGUUGGUGUAUUGACAAUCCUUCUCCUAGGGAUAGAUGCCAGUGAAGGUGCUUCCACAAGGGGAAAGCAUUUUAGCAUUUGUAUUAAAGUCACAAUUUAGUGACUGCUCCACACCACACC